AGUGGUUAACAAGUUGGUGGACUCCAGCAUCGUUGGAGCUAACAUGUGCUUUAGCGAGCUGCCACACCCAGUUAGAGGUUGCAUCGACAGGAGGUGUAACAACUCGUUUGGAUCGGUGGUUCGGGCCAUGGGAAGGGAGGCUUAGCUCGAUGGCUACGGGCUUAAGUGUUCCAAGACGAGUCAAGAAGAAAAUGGUUCGAGUAGCAUAUGCUUUGCGUCCAUCGAGCGCAUUGAUUUGGUCUAGGAACGGUAAGAAUAUGUCAUGGUAAUCCAACAUAUACAAUCUGUUCUCUUCCAACGCCUGAAAAAUAAUUAAACAAAAAUUAGUUGAUCAAAUUUCACUUUUAGUAAUUAUUCGAGUAAUUUGGAUUUGUUUAUAGUAUAAAACGUACUUGUUGAACGGACAAGCCGUCAAGAUGUCCGAUGAUGUGGUCGGAAGUGAGAGCGGAGUGUUGUGGACCGUAGAUUUCGGGGUCAAGAUUACUGACGGGUGGGAAAGUCUUGACUCUCUCAAUGUUGACUGGAUUGAUUCCAGCUAUGGCUUGACGUGCGAACUCGUCAUCUCGUAGCCAUGCGUUUUUAUCCUCUGCAUUCAUUUUAAAAAAAAAGUCAAUUAGUUAAUAACGCUGAUGUGCUAAGCAUGUUAUGAUUUUGAAUUAAUGAAAGGCAAACGCGCUUUUGUUUAUUCACAAACUAAUACUACUAUAACUAGCACGAGCGUUAUAACGAGUCAAGAAAAGCACGUGAAACAUGCAUAUGUUUGCUUAUGCACUCUUUUAUUCCUGCUUUUCAACUAAAAUGAUUAUUUCUUACUUUUUGGUAGGACGAUAACACUUCAUAAUGGUCCCAAUUAUCAAAGACCAACAAUCGCCACAAAAUCAAAGUUCAUUUUCUAUUAAAACACCCUUUUUAUUAAAAUCAAAAUUUGAUGUUAAAAUUUUUUAUGAAUUAAGUGAGCUUACUCGAUAAUAUUUUGGGAGUGUCGUAUUUGAGGAGUCCUUUCGAAGAUUCUUGGAGGGUAUUAACGAUGCCCUUAGGCAAAGGGAACUUGUUGAAUAUCUCAUCUUGAAAUCCUAACUUCAGUAGCAAGCCUUUUUUGUAGAGAUCAUCAAUCUCUCCGAAGUCAGAAAAGUCAUCAGCUAAAAUACUAGCUUUAAGCGACGGAACAAGGUGGUGUAACACCGCUUUUAACCUCCCUGCGGCGAAAGUGUCCUGCUUAGUCUCUUCAAAUUGCUCGUCUCGUGGCACGUACAUAGGUAAUGGCUUUUCCACUCGGCUCUCCGCUUCAUUAUCUGCCAACAAUGCAGAUAAAACAUCAGAUACAUUUUUUUCACAGUACCAGUCAUGGACAAUUGGACAUGACCAAAUGAAACAUUGGCUGUAGAACUUCAAAAAAAUUAGAGUCAAUUUAUAAAAAUGUAUCUCUCCAAUUUUUUAAUUUUUUUUAAAAAAAAUCGUUAAUUACUGACUUGUUUAUCGUCUCAAAAUUUCAUGAUCCGCUUGAUUUCAUAACACCCAAAACACAUAUACUAUUAGAGAUAUUGUUUUUAAGAAUGUUGUUAUGAAUUGUACCGGUAUCAGUUGGCUGGCGACCAGUGCGACACCGUCUAGGGUAAGGCCUCUCUCUGCCACCGAGUUUCGGACGAGAGAGUUCAGAUGACUUGUCGGGAUUUCCAAGAUCGUUGUAGACAUCAAAGUCAUAGAUUCUGUCUGAUAACUUCCUGACUCCAGUCCCAUCUCCUCGUAGAUUCUUCAACUCUUUCCCCCUUAGUUUUCUUAAUCCUUCAGGUGUCUCACUCGGCAAAAACGGCUGCACACAAAUUAACAUAACUUGAUUUUUAAUAAUUUAUAACCACAUAUUAUUUAUGGGAAUAUAGUUGAAAGCUGGCUAAUAAGUAUUAUUAUAUGGACCCACCAGACAUGAAUAUUGGAGAAGAUUUUGAAACUGAUUAGUAUAUGUGAUUAAUUCGUUGGAGAUCGAAAAUGACGUGACUUAAAUGGUCUGGGACCGUAAUUAAUUAUGUAUCAGUCAGAUAUUUUAAUCAGUAGGAUCCAUGUGCUCAGUUUUCGUUCUAUUUGAUUUAUAAACAAAUCAACCAUAAAUUUUAAAGAAAAAAAUACGAAAAUAGAAGAAAAUCUACUUUGAGCUUAUUACAUCUUUGGAAAAGAAUGCAUGUCUUCUAUUUCUAUAUAUUGAUUACUCGCGUGAGAGCCACUUGGUCCACACAUGGACUUAUGUACAAUUGUACUUAUAUAUGUCGUUUAUUUGUCAUCUUUCUCUACGUCACUAACAAGCUCAGCUCGAUUGAGGUUGUUGGCUUUUUGUCUGAUAAAUCUAAUUAAGUUGAUUACUCUGCAUCAUUGGAUCAGAAUCAACCAGACACAAAUAGCUUUUUGUACGUUCGAUUUUUCUACCCAACUUAAGGUUCGUAUGUAUGUCAGAUUAGGUUAAAACCAUAAGAACAAACCUUGUCUUGACUCUUUAGUGUAUAUCUCGAUCUGCCUUAAUUUCCCUGAUGAAAAGGUACAAAUAUAUAUUUUAUACGUCUGAGGAGAUAGUGUGUGACCCAAGUUAGGUCAGAACCCAAGAAGCCUUGGUUUUAGGUCCAAUUUAAAGUUGAAACAGAGCCACUUUGAAGUUUUCUUUUGAAAAAUUUAAGUUGAGCAAUCGAGAUCUCCAUGAUCCAAUUCGAAAGGGAGUCACUUUGAAGUUAUCUAUAAAAUGAGCCCAAAUCAUAAUCCAUCGUCGCAACAAUAAGCAUAUGGUAUUUUAAAUUUUCAAAUUUCAUAAAUUUUAUGGUCUUUUGGGCCAUAAUUAACCGGAGAUGAACAAAUCCAUUGUCUGAAUAUAUUUCAAAAUAUUAUGAAUAUGAAUUUAAAUCUAGCUUCGAGAACAUAUCUGCAAAAUUCAAAUGUACCAAUUUAUAUAUUUUAUUUCAUUUUCAAAAAUCAUAUAUAACAGAUUUCUACAUUUUCUCCUAUAUUUAAUCUCAUUCUAUAUCGAUACACUAUUAGGUACACCUCUGCACGUAACACCUGGCUCAGAACUCGGAACCAACAACUCGUAAGGCAAAACUCCAGCUCCACACCUGUUUCUACGGUUAGGAUCACUGUUUCUUUUCUCAAUCUCUUUUUCUAUCCGUCCAAUCUCCGCCGCAAAUCCAUAAAACGCAUCAACAAUCUCCGCAUCUCCGGUCCAAGUGGACGGUUGUUGUCUCUCCCCGAUAUACUCCUCAUCCGGAGAAUGCGUUGACAACGUAUCAACCACCGCCAUAAACUUCGACGUUUGCAACAAACUCGGCAUCGAAGAAAAAUAAAAUUUCUCAGGAUCCGAGAUAAAACUUGCGUACUCCGGAUCCGACUCGUCAGGGAUUAACCGUCGCAUCAGCGGAGGUCGGUUUGGGACGUAACCUCCAUACGGAUACUGUCCGAAGUUGAGAGCGGCGUGUUGAGCGGAGGCGAGCCAGACUAGUGUGGUGAGGAUGGAGACUAGGUCGUCCACGGUGUCUAACUUUGGCCACCACUCGGCUUCGCGGAGAUCUGCAUGGCCUACGUUGAUUGACUCCGAGUACCACGAUUGGAGUUCCGAGUCUGUUUGAAUUGAGUUCGAGUUUGGAUAGUAACGUUCCACGUAAGUUCGGACCCAUGUUUGGAUUGCGGACCAUAUUAGAAGACCGUCGUUCGCAUAUGGAUAGUCUUCGAUCAGGAGUUUAAGUCCAUGUGGUUGUGUUGGGUCUGGAACUGCCAUUCCUCUAAAAAACAAAAUAAAACGAUCAAUAUUAGAUAUCAUACGUAUAAAAUUGUGUUUGACAUAAUCAAGAAUAGUAUAUGUCUAACAAAGUUUAGCUACAAUACCUGCGAAUGAGAUCGGCAGGGAGGCCUUCCAUGUCGAACCGCCAACUACUUUUGUAGGCUGCGGAGCUCAUUUCCAAACCGUAUUGGCCAGCAGUGAAGCCUCCUUCAAUCACACCGUCUGCACUGAUCAAUGAUUGUCUAGCCAGUGCAUUGAUCUCCAACGUAUACCUCAUGUGUGGAUCCAAUAGUUUGAAUAUCGGAUGCAUAGCGCUUAAUUGCCUAUGUGCAGCUAUUAUAAACGGUUCCAAGCAUGCAUGGGUUCGUAACCUUUAGAACAAAAAUUGAUAAAUAUAUCAAUAACUCUAUAUUCAUUAUUAACAACUUGUUACAUAAAUGAUUAGUAAGUUAACGUUUUGAGUACUAACCAGUGGUUAACAAGUUGGUGGACUCCAGCAUCGUUGGAGCUAACAUGUGCUUUAGCGAGCUGCCACACCCAGUUAGAGGUUGCAUCGACAGGAGGUGUAACAACUCGUUUGGAUCGGUGGUUCGGGCCAUGGGAAGGGAGGCUUAGCUCGAUGGCUACGGGCUUAAGUGUUCCAAGACGAGUCAAGAAGAAAAUGGUUCGAGUAGCAUAUGCUUUGCGUCCAUCGAGCGCAUUGAUUUGGUCU
This 4463-nucleotide long non-coding RNA is filed under the name Brassica napus (rape). Its description in RNAcentral is "long non-coding RNA (BNAP_LNC007185)". Lineage: Eukaryota; Viridiplantae; Streptophyta; Magnoliopsida; Brassicales; Brassicaceae. The record is from RNAcentral.